Molecule: non-coding RNA, 68 nt
Filed under: Palpitomonas bilix
Lineage: Eukaryota
Source: RNAcentral
ACCCUCACUAAUUAAAUACAAAAAAAAAAAGAAAGAAAAAAAGAAAAGAAAAAGAAAGAAAAGUCAAA